This 1313-nucleotide ribosomal RNA is filed under the name metagenome. RNAcentral's name for it is "bacterial SSU rRNA". It matches the Rfam family "Bacterial small subunit ribosomal RNA", at positions 169 to 1498 of the family's 1533-position model. The record is from RNAcentral.
CUGGAUAUGUGACGUGACCGCAUGGUCUGCGUCUGGAAAGAAUUUCGGUUGGGGAUGGGCUCGCGGCCUAUCAGCUUGUUGGUGAGGUAAUGGCUCACCAAGGCGUCGACGGGUAGCCGGCCUGAGAGGGUGACCGGCCACACUGGGACUGAGACACGGCCCAGACUCCUACGGGAGGCAGCAGUGGGGAAUAUUGCACAAUGGGCGCAAGCUUGAUGCAGCAACGCCGCGUGAGGGACGACGGCCUUCGGGUUGUAAACCUCUUUUAGCAGGGAAGAAGCGAAAGUGGCGGUACCUGCAGAAAAAGCGCCGGCUAACUACGUGCCAGCAGCCGCGGUAAUACGUAGGGCGCAAGCGUUAUCCGGAAUUAUUGGGCGUAAAGAGCUCGUAGGCGGUUUGUCGCGUCUGCUGUGAAAUCCGGAGGCUCAACCUCCGGCCUGCAGUGGGUACGGGCAGACUAGAGUGCGGUAGGGGAGAUUGGAAUUCCUGGUGUAGCGGUGGAAUGCGCAGAUAUCAGGAGGAACACCGAUGGCGAAGGCAGAUCUCUGGGCCGUAACUGACGCUGAGGAGCGAAAGGGUGGGGAGCAAACAGGCUUAGAUACCCUGGUAGUCCACCCCGUAAACGUUGGGAACUAGUUGUGGGGUCUACGGAUUCCGUGACGCAGCUAACGCAUUAAGUUCCCCGCCUUGGGAGUACGGCCGCAAGGCUAAAACUCAAAGGAAUUGACGGGGACCCGCACAAGCGGCGGAGCAUGCGGAUUAAUUCGAUGCAACGCGAAGAACCUUACCAAGGCUUGACAUAUACGAGAACGGGCCAGAAAUGGUCAACUCUUUGGACACUCGUAAACAGGUGGUGCAUGGUUGUCGUCAGCUCGUGUCGUGAGAUGUUGGGUUAAGUCCCGCAACGAGCGCAACCCUCGUUCUAUGUUGCCAGCACGUAAUGGUGGGAACUCAUGGGAUACUGCCGGGGUCAACUCGGAGGAAGGUGGGGAUGACGUCAAAUCAUCAUGCCCCUUAUGUCUUGGGCUUCACGCAUGCUACAAUGGCCGGUACAAAGGGCUGCAAUACCGCGAGGUGGAGCGAAUCCCAAAAAGCCGGUCCCAGUUCGGAUUGAGGUCUGCAACUCGACCUCAUGAAGUCGGAGUCGCUAGUAAUCGCAGAUCAGCAACGCUGCGGUGAAUACGUUCCCGGGUCUUGUACACACCGCCCGUCAAGUCAUGAAAGUCGGUAACACCUGAAGCCGGUGGCCUAACCCUUGUGGAGGGAGCCGUCGAAGGUGGGAUCGGUAAUUAGGACUAAGUCGAAACAAGGUA